Molecule: long non-coding RNA, 1080 nt
Filed under: Gouania willdenowi (blunt-snouted clingfish)
Lineage: Eukaryota; Metazoa; Chordata; Actinopteri; Blenniiformes; Gobiesocidae
Description: lncRNA (ENSGWIG00000007954.1)
Source: RNAcentral
GUGGAAAAUAAGUAUUUGGUCAAUAACAAAAAUUCAACUCAAUACUUUGUAAUAUAACCUUUGUUGGCAAUAACAGAGGUCAAACGAUUACUAUAGGUCUUUACCAGGUUUGCACACACAGUAGCUGGUAUUUUGGCCCAUUCCUCCAUGCAGAUCUUCUCGAGAGCAGUGAUGUUUUGGGGCUGUCGCCGAGCAACACGGACUUUCAACUCCCUCCACAGAUUUUCUAUGGGGUUGAGGUCUGGAGACUGGCUAGGCCACUCCAGGACUUUCAAAUGCUUCUUACGGAGCCACUCCUUCGUUGCCCGGGCGGUGUGUUUGGGAUCAUUGUCAUGCUGGAAGACCCAGCCACGUUUCAUCUUCAAAGCUCUCACUGAUGGAAGGAGGUUUUGGCUCAAAAUCUCACGAUACAUGGCCCCAUUCAUUCUUUCCUUAACACGGAUCAGUCGUCCUGUCCCCUUAGCAGAAAAACAGCCUCAAUGCAUGAUGUUUCCACCCCCAUGCUUCACAGUAGGUAUGGUGUUCUUGGGAUGCAACUCAGUAUUCAUCUUCCUCCAAACACGACGAGUUGAGUUUAUACCAAAAAGUUCUAUUUUGGUUUCAUCUGACCACAUGACAUUCUCCCAAUCCUCUGCUGUAUCAUCCAUGUGCUCUCUGGCAAACUUCAGACGGGCCUGGACAUGCAAUGGCUUAAGCAGGGGGACACGUCUGGUACUGCAGGAUUUGAUUCCCUGUCGGCGUAGUGUGUUACUGAUGGUAACCUUUGUUACUUUGGUCCCAGCUCUCUGCAGGUCAUUCACCAGGUCCCCCCGUGUGGUUCUGGGAUUUUUGCUCACCGUUCUCAUGAUCAUUUUGACCCCACGGGAUGAGAUGCGUGGAGCCCCAGAUGGAGGGAGAUUAUCAGUGGUCUUGUAUGUCUUCCAUUUUCUGAUAAUUGCUCCCACAGUUGAUUUUUUCACACCAAGCUGUUUACCUAUUGUAGAUUCACUCUUCCCAGUCUGGUGCAGGUCUACAAUUCUUUUCCUGGUGUCCUUUGACAGCUCUUUGGUCUUGGCCAUAGUGGAGUUUGGAGUCUGACUG